GGCGCUGUGCCUGGGCAUCACGGCGGCCGCCUGGCAUGCGGUCGGCCGGCAGGCCGAGUUCCGCACCCGCGAGCGCUUC
Molecule: transfer RNA, 79 nt
Filed under: Pseudoduganella albidiflava
Lineage: Bacteria; Pseudomonadati; Pseudomonadota; Betaproteobacteria; Burkholderiales; Oxalobacteraceae
Description: tRNA-Ala
Source: RNAcentral